UACGGAGGAUGCGAGCGUUAUCCGGAUUUAUUGGGUUUAAAGGGUGCGUAGGCGGGCUUUUAAGUCAGCGGUAAAAAUUCGGGGCUCAACCUCGUCCGGCCGUUGAAACUGGGGGCCUUGAGUGGGCGAGAAGAAGGCGGAAUGCGUGGUGUAGCGGUGAAAUGCAUAGAUAUCACGCAGAACCCCGAUUGCGAAGGCAGCCUUCCGGCGCCCUACUGACGCUGAGGCACGAAAGUGCGGGGAUCGAACAGG
This 252-nucleotide ribosomal RNA is filed under the name uncultured bacterium. RNAcentral describes it as "partial 16S ribosomal RNA". It matches the Rfam family "Bacterial small subunit ribosomal RNA", at positions 524 to 776 of the family's 1533-position model. The record is from RNAcentral.